GAUGAACGCUGGCGGCGUGCCUAAUACAUGCAAGUCGAGCGAACGGACGAGAAGCUUGCUUCUCUGAUGUUAGCGGCGGACGGGUGAGUAACACGUGGAUAACCUACCUAUAAGACUGGGAUAACUUCGGGAAACCGGAGCUAAUACCGGAUAAUAUUUUGAACCGCAUGGUUCAAAAGUGAAAGACGGUCUUGCUGUCACUUAUAGAUGGAUCCGCGCUGCAUUAGCUAGUUGGUAAGGUAACGGCUUACCAAGGCAACGAUGCAUAGCCGACCUGAGAGGGUGAUCGGCCACACUGGAACUGAGACGCGGUUCAGACUCCUACGGGAGGCAGCAGUAGGGAAUCUUCCGCAAUGGGCGAAAGCCUGACGGAGCAACGCCGCGUGAGUGAUGAAGGUCUUCGGAUCGUAAAACUCUGUUAUUAGGGAAGAACAUAUGUGUAAGUAACUGUGCACAUCUUGACGGUACCUAAUCAGAAAGCCACGGCUAACUACGUG
RNAcentral lists this ribosomal RNA (497 nucleotides) under uncultured bacterium. RNAcentral's name for it is "partial 16S ribosomal RNA". It matches the Rfam family "Bacterial small subunit ribosomal RNA", at positions 28 to 507 of the family's 1533-position model. The record is from RNAcentral.